AAACGGCUCGGUGGUGAUUUGGCCGGUCUGAUUGCAGCCACCUAAAACAAGUUGCUAAAGGAACCGUAGGGAGCUGGCC
Molecule: non-coding RNA, 79 nt
Filed under: Paradevosia tibetensis
Lineage: Bacteria; Pseudomonadati; Pseudomonadota; Alphaproteobacteria; Hyphomicrobiales; Devosiaceae
Also listed under: 1 other name
Description: Youhaiella tibetensis Alpha-proteobacteria SAM riboswitch aptamer
Rfam family: Alpha-proteobacteria SAM riboswitch aptamer
About the family: This family is a riboswitch found predominantly in alpha-proteobacteria that binds S-adenosyl methionine (SAM). This SAM riboswitch is located upstream of the metA and metC genes in Agrobacterium tumefaciens, and other methionine and SAM biosynthesis genes in other alpha-proteobacteria.
Source: Rfam by way of RNAcentral